RNAcentral lists this ribosomal RNA (381 nucleotides) under uncultured bacterium. Its description in RNAcentral is "bacterial SSU rRNA". It matches the Rfam family "Bacterial small subunit ribosomal RNA", at positions 29 to 401 of the family's 1533-position model. The record is from RNAcentral.
AAUGAACGCUGGCGGCGCGCCUAAUACAUGCAAGUCGAGCGAGAAGACGUAGCAAUACGUUUGUAAAGCGGCGAACGGGUGAGGAAUACAUGGGUAACCUACCCUCGAGUGGGGAAUAACUAGCCGAAAGGUUAGCUAAUACCGCGUACGCUUCUUGGACUUCGGUUCAGGGAGGAAAGCGAUGCCGAGGGUAUCGCGCUCUUGGAUGGGCUCAUGUCCUAUCAGCUUGUUGGGAGGUAACGGCUCACCAAGGCUUCGACGGGUAGCUGGUCUGAGAGGACGAUCAGCCACACUGGCACUGCGACACGGGCCAGACUCCUACGGGAGGCAGCAGUAAGGAAUAUUGCGCAAUGGGCGAAAGCCUGACGCAGCGACGCCGCG